Long non-coding RNA from Hippoglossus stenolepis (Pacific halibut), 11417 nucleotides. RefSeq lists it as uncharacterized. NCBI's taxonomy places the organism in Eukaryota, Metazoa, Chordata, Actinopteri, Pleuronectiformes, Pleuronectidae. The transcript is spliced from 3 exons. The record is from RefSeq and is a predicted model, not a curated record.
GUUAUUUUCCUUUCAUUUUAAUGUGAGCUUUGUGAUCGAGUGUACGUGAUCAAUAAUUGUAGGUUAGGAUUGUUUACGCUUUAGUAUAGAUGAAAAUUCUUCCUUCUGUAAAAUGACAUUUCAAGUUUUAAUCAAUGAAUCGUAUCAGUAUAAUUAUCAGUGACACCUGCUCUGACAGAAUUUAAGGUAUCUCUCAUAAGAACAAAGUCACUUUCCGCUUUACUCCGCUAUUUCAAACAAGAGCAUAAAAUCAUUAAAUUCAAGCAGAGCACUUGAGACGAGGAGCCACAAGCUGUGGUUGUUAGUUUAUCCUUUUAAUGUAUGUUGGCCCAAUGUUUAAUUAAUAUUGGACUUGGAAUACCUCAGUGCAAUUGUGGAAAAUGUAAACAGUCUCACAGUAUUCAAUGCAGUGACAUUAAGGUGAGAUCAGCUGAAGAACUACAAGCAGAGGUGAAGACACUUCCCAGUUUUCAGCAUUAUCUAAAAGUCAGCCAUAUGAAGGUUAAUUGUAACAGGUCACUAACAUGAAUGUGACUGAUGCAAUGCAAGAAUACUGGUUGUAACUGUAUGUGAGUAUGUAAAGAAUGAAAAUCCAUGUUUCAGGGUAAUUCACUGUGCGAGUUUCAUUUUUAAGCAUCAUCUUGUCAUUACAGCACCCACUGUCUUCUUCCACAAAUAACUAAUUUAUCUACUUUCAUUCUGUCCUGAAACUGAUGUGUGAUGGUUGCUCGUAACUUGUUUGUGGACACACUCUUGCCAAGAUCAAGAGAUAAUUCUAAACAUAAACCCUAUUUAAACAUUAUCUAAACGCUGAUAUUUAUACAGUAUGCCAUAGGAAUGUUGUUUCACACUCAUGCAAGGCAAUUCUUGAUAUCUGUCUGAGGAUUUGCUGGUAUUUAGAGGUCCUGUGGUUAAAAGGUUAAUGAGAUAACAGUUGAAAAACAGCAUUGAACUUAUCUUAUAUAAUCCUGUAAGGAAAUAAAUAGUCCUGUAGGACAGUUUCCUUUAGCCGGUUAAAUGUCAUUAGGGCUGGUGACUAAGUGGAUGUCUUGGAAUGAAUAAUCAGUCAUAUACUCUGUAAAUAGUCCAUCGGCCUUGUGGAUAUUGAUCAGUCCUCUGUGACUAGUAGAUUGAUUUCUGGCAUGGUAAUUGAUUAAAGGUAACCUGAUUUUUAAAAUAUAAUAUUAGUGCAUGUGAAUAUUUCUGUCACCAUGUAUUUACAUGCUCCAUCCAGGUGACAGUGGAGAGUCUUAAGUCCUUUUGGUGAAGCUGCUGUUCAUACCGCACUUGGAUUUUUCUUCUUCUUCUAAUUCAAAGAUAAAGAACAAGGGCACAAAAUAUUCUCAAUCAUCAGCUUGAGGCAAAAAAAACCCUGUGUUCUUCAAGGCCUUUCUGUAACUCUGCUGGCCUGGGAUUAGAUCUUGCUUGUGUUUUGCCUCCUCUGUAAUCCCUCUCAGCAGUCUGCCUCAAUAAAAGAAAAAAAAACACUGAGGGGUGUGGACAAACCAGUCAAGAUAGAAAAAAUACUACUAGAGCAGGAAGCCAAACAAAUGUUUUGUAGGGCGAUUUAAACCCGUCCCAAAAAUAACAAUCACCUUUCUUUUGAAUGGAAACUGACAUCAGAUUCUAACUCGACCAUGGCGUGUUUUUAACUCUUCAUGUAGUAGCAUGUGCCUCAUUCAAUUGAAUCCUUUUUAUGGAUCAUUACAGUGUUAUUGGCUCGUUACUCGACUUAGUCUGAGAAUAGUAUUUGAUACAUAUGAAAACAGUCUCAUAGUGUUAAAUGUGCAACCGAGUUUUAAAACAAUCCCAAUUUAGGGUGAAACUAUGCUUCUCUUGUCUGUAACAGCCUGUGAUUACGAGAUUACAGAUCUCUCCCGGUGUCUACGAUUGAAGUUUUUGCUGAUUCUUUUGCUGUUUUAAGUCUCAAACAAGAAUAUUACAUAGUGAAACCUCACUUUAUUGUCUUUAGUUUUCCUUCCUCUCCUGUCUCCUUCUCCUUGUUACCACGCUAGCUGAGUUUUUUCCCCUUAAUUGUCCCCAGUUUGUAAUGUAAUUUUAGCCCGCUCUAUGAAUUAUGCCCGCUUAAUUUGAUUGCCAUGUGUGAGAAUGUCUGUAAGAUUAUAGAGAGACAAAAUGAAAAGGGCUUCUUGUGCUGUAACAUCUGAAAUUGCUGGCCAAGCAUGUGAUAAUGUUUAGCAGAACCCUGACUAUAAAAGUUCUUUUUUUUCUUUUUCUCCUUUUUUCUCUUGCUUUUACUUUAAGAUAAAUAAUUUAUGUUUUCAUGGGAUUAGGUUUUAGGGAUGGUUUGCUAGAAAGCAAAUUAAGAAACAACAUGUUGCCAUGUUUUCUAACAGUUAAGAAGUUCUGUGUGUGCCUGUGUGUGUGUGUGUGUGUGUAUACACUUUUGUAUAGUGUCUCGGGGCUAAUGUGACCACCUCGCAGGCUUUGUGCUAAAAAGAGGUCAGAGGUCUCUGUUGUGUUUUCAGGGUGACCUGCUAGUGACUAUUAGCCAUUGAUAAAUGUGAUGUCCCACAAGUGUGCGGCCGGACCCCUCCAAAGGGGGAGGUGUCAUAACACGCCCCACACUAACCUCACAGCCAACCCCACCUCAAACUACACACACGCAAACACACACACUCUGCCCUGCUGACAGGAGCACAAGGGGGCAGCUGCUACAGAUGUAGAGGGGGAGGGGAACCGAGGAGACAUCAAUGGAGAGUCUCUCUCUAGUGUGGAGUUCUCAGUGGGGCUCAUUGUGUUCUCUAAAGACCAAGACAAGGGACUAGACCACAUUAAUAUAGUAAGCCCUUAGUCUCUCACACUUUCUUUCAGGGUGUUGUGCACUUCGACUCUUCUUCAGUUGUUUCAUGCAUGUUCAUAAGGAAGUGUGUGUUGCAGUCGUGUCAGUUUACAUAGGUUGACAUUUGCUAUGAACUUUUUUCUCCCUUCACUCUGCUUUGUGGCUUAUAUGAAUAAUAAUUUAGUGGUAGAUGUAGUGUGAUUUAAUACUAGAAUUGCACUCAGUAGAGCGUAUACCUCCGCCAAGGCCCAUCAGUCCCCUUAAAUUAUAACAAGCCUUAUAGCUAAGGCAACAUGACGUCUCUCAGCUACACAUUGGUGGUAGUUGCAGGUUUGCAGUUCCAUUUGUUACCAUGCUGCACCUGAAAAAAACCUAUGAAACCACAUUGAAAUCCACCAGAUCCAGAUUCUUAAUUGGAUCCAGAUGAAAUUGCACACACUCAUCGAUACCAAUUCACUAAAUAUCAAGUUUUUUCAUCAACAUUCACACAUAAUUCUUUUGAACCAAAAAUGUUGAAGGAUGUCCUAUCUUGCAAUUGUAAAGAAAGUGAAAACAAAUUCCUGGAUACCCCCACUGAUCCAGAUCCACACCAAAGAUUAACGGGUUCAUCCCUGACCCUUAUCCAUCAGGUAGCUUUUGUGAAAUCUUGCUAACAAGCAAACAAACACACACACACACACACCCACAAACGCAGACUAAAACAACCUCCUUGGUGAAUAUGUAGUAAUAUGUAGUAAUGAUGAGCAUCCUAUAGUUCUCCUAUAGAGCAUUUUAGGCAACACCUAAUGCUACCAUGAUAAAAGGUGAUUUCAAUGUGUAGCACUCGCUCAACAAGAAUUAAAAAAUUCUCCGGUUGCAAUUUGACAUGUUCACUGUGAGCUGUUAGUUUAAUGUUAGUCUCCUGCAGCACACCGGUGCUUAUGCAUGGUUUAGUUUCACCCCUGACUUUAAUUAAUGUUUUGGGGUAGAAUUUAGUCUUUUUAAAUUCUUGAAUGCAUGUCUGGAUUUGAGCUGUUGCCACCGUCUAUUUCCCCAUCAUUUGUAGAGAUGCAGUCCCAUGUCUUGUGUUGUGAAGUGCUACCUUUUGGGUUGCAUGAGGGGGGGGGGGGAAUAAAACUCCUCCUUGAAUAAGAAGCAGCUGAGUGUAACAGCCAUCUAUGCAUGCAAGUCUUCUCAACAUGAAAUCAAAUUACAUUGAACUAAAACUGCCCCAGCGUGGCAACUUUGCAGCCGGGUUACCCCGCUGUGCCAAACACCACGACACAUGACACUGUGGCUCUUGUUCAGCUCGACUACUGGAGGACAAGGGGAGAGCCCCGCUCGGACUCGGCGCUCCUAAUGAAGAGAUGCAUUAUGAUGUGAUUUCAUUUGGGCCUACAGGAAAAGUUGCAGUGGAUCACAGAGCCGUCUGAGUAGCGUAGCUCAUUUGUGUAGUAACAUGUGACUUGUGUUUUCGUGAGUCAUAAGGGUCUCCUGCCUAAUGGAAGGCAGUGUGUGCUCAUGUGACGGUGACACAAUGCCGGAUGGACCGUAUAGUAUUCAACCAGAGCUCAGCCUGGCUACUGCUUUUACUCAUCAGUAUAUUUUAAUCUUGUUUUUGUCAUAGUGAAACUAAGCAAACGAUAUUUCUGCUCAUGUUAUCAAUAGGGUUUAGAUGUACAAGAGGUUUUUGACCGAAUGCAAAUCUGCAAGUCCUGCAUGUGUGUAUCUGCAGAUAUUAGCGCAUGUGUGCAUGUGAAUGUGUGUGUUUUGUCUUUGAGUACUGCAUCAUGAUCUUCCCUAUGGUCACGGUGGUGUUUUUGCUGGCUCAUCCCUGCCUCUCCACAUGCCUGUUUAACAACACAGAGCUCCUCCUUACUGGCUUCCUGUCCAAACCAGUUUAUCUGUAAACAAGUGUGUUUUUUUCCUCUCCGCCCCAUUGUCCACACCACACCAGAAUGCAUACACAAUGGGCGCCCUCUCUCUCACAGGCAGCUUUUGUACUGCAAAGUAGAAAACAUCAUGUUUUUUACUACAACACGCAGCUACAGCGCUAAGAAAUAACAUGCUUCUUAUAAAUAUAAAGUUUCAAAAAGAUUACCGUGAAGGAAAAAGUUGAAUGUAUCUGUAAUUUUGUCAAUGUUUUUCAUAGGUAAGUAGAAAUAAUAAGUUGCGUUCAAAGAUAGGUUCUUAUAAAAAAAAGAAAAAGAAGAACAACUGAUGGCAGGUUGCAGUUAAUUCUUUUUCCAGUGAAUCCUGGUGGAGUCAACUACUGGUAUAGCAGGAUAAUGUUAUGUAUUGUUAUUAUGUGUGCGUUGGGAUGAAAUGGCUGUCUCUGUUUACCUUGCUCGAGGUUCACUAUGCUACUGUAGAUAUUUUAAGAGCAGGGUCAUAGUGGCAAAGCUCAGGCUGUCCGGCCUUUGGUGAUAAAUAGCAGUAAUGUGUGUGUAUGUGGUUUUGCCAAGCUGGACCUAAAGUGAGAAGACGUGGUUAUGACACAGAACGUGUCUCCUUUAAGCUGGAGAACCAAGUCGCUUUGAAAGGUGCAGACAACAAAUCAGUCAAAUGUCAAAGAAAAUGGCCGGCCACAGAAAAGGAAACUUACUUGAAAGUAGAAUAUCACUGAGUGGAGCACAUACCUCUGCCAAGGCCAAACAAUCCUACACAUGUCUGUCUAGCUCUUCUAAUAGAAAAAGAAAAAGGAAGUAGUCUGAUAAUCUGUACAAACUCAUCGACCUCUGCAACAUAAAUGUCUGUUUUUAAAACCAGGAUCCUUAAAAAUUCAUAAAACCUGGUACUGGCCCUUUGAUUUAAUCUACACCAAAUUUGCAUGGGUUCUUUCUUGGCCCAUGCCAAGUUCUGCAAAGUUUGGUGCAAAUUGGUUUUGCAUAAUCCCGCUGACAAAAAAACAAACAAACAGACAUAACAUCCUUGGCGGAGAUAAUUAGAGAGGGCCAUAUGAUGUCACAGCAAUUUUAGAUAAAAAAAAGCAGUGUCCUCAUUUACACUGUGGAAAAUAAACCAAUACAGAGGGUUUUUCAAAUGAUAUGAUCGAGGAGAGGACAGAAAGAGAAUACAACUGAUAACCUGACGUCUGUGUUAGUCACUUUACCUCAGUGAUUCGGAGUCAAACCUCUGUUGCUUUUUGUUCCCUGAUGUCAUUGGGUUCACAUCCCCUUGGCCUUGGUACUUGUUGACCUAAUAAUACACAUAUAAGAGAUAUUCUGCUUCUGUCAUCUAUAGCUGCAAUAAUGUGUUUUAUUUGGAUAUUAUAUGACUGUUUUUGAACUAUUGUGUUAAGAUAAAGACCCAUUUCAGUAGACAGUCACAGUGUUUGUAUCACGUAUAGUUUAAAACUAUUGCUGUGCAGCGCUGUUCCGCACCCACAGGACUAUAUGUAUAUGUGUGAUUUAUAUGGAAAACAGUUUUUAUACAAUUUGCUAUAAAAGAUGUUUUGAAAUCUAAAUUGGGAAUAGUGUGUUUGUGUGUGUACAUUUUAAAAGUGUUUUCACUCACUUACAAAAACACAUGUUAAUUUGUACAUAGGACGCCCCCUGGUAAGGAAAAAUCAGUGAGUGAAAGUGUAACAGUAGUGAGCCAACACAAUUUAAUCUGGGUCAUCUGCAGAACAGUGCAUUUUAAACCAUGAGGCCAAUGGCAACUCUCAAUCAUUGCUGUUUUGCUGUGGAUAACUAUUCAUAUGGUCCAACAGACAUUUAUCACACUAACAGACACAGGCCUGUGGAGUGUAGACAUUUUUAUCCACAGGUGGUAAGAAACUUGACAAAAUGAUAAUGUUUGGUACAAGGUUAAGUCAAAGAAUGGAUGCACCUAAAAUGCAUAUUAUGUCUAAAUUACAAAGACACCACAGUGCUGUGUGUGGGUGUGGUUUCUGCCAAGCUCCUCCUAAAGUUAUGACAGAAAGUUUCAUUAAAGCUGGAUAACCAAGUCCCUUUGAAAGCUGCGGAAAUCAAAUAAGUAAAAGUGCAUUUAAUGCUUAUGUUGUUCUCGAUUGAUAGUGACUGUAGAAUCUAAUGAUGCCUGACUUUCAUGAACCUAUGAUUUCUCUCAAUAUUAUACCACAGACUUUUGUGUUGUGUGACUUGUCAAAGCUGCAUGUUGUUAUUUGUGCUUCUGCACAGUGGUGGCAUUAAUUUCACGAAUCCAAAAAUGCAGUUUUCAAUUAGUUUUAGAGGUAAAGUUUGAGUGAAAGUCGGCAAUCAUUGCUGUUUUGCUGUGGAUUACUUCAUAGAUGUGGUCCCAUAGAAAUGUAUCACACUAACAGACACAGGCCUGUGGAGUAUAGACAUUUUUAUCCACAGGUGCUAAGAAACCUGACAAAAUGAUAAUGUUUGGUACAAGAAUAAGUCAAAGAAUUCAUGCACUUAAAAUGCAAAUACAGUAACGUGUAUGUUUGUAUUCCAAAUACACCACAGUGCUGUGUGUGUGGUUUUUGCCAAGUGAGAAAAAGUGGCUAUGACACGGAAUGUUUCCUUUAACCAAGUCUAUUUGAAAGCUGCGGAUACAAAAUCAGUAAAAGUACAUAUAAUGUUUAUCUAGAGGUAUUGUGAUGCCUGACUAUAGAUGAUUUUUGAUUUCUCAUAAUAUUCUGCCAUAGACUUUUGUUUUGUGUGACUUGUCAAAGCUGCAUGUUGUUAUUUUUGCUUCUGCAUAGUAGUGGCAUUAAUUCAAAUUAAAUAAAAAACUAGUUUUAGCCAAUCAUUGCUACUUUGCUGUGGAUUACUAUAGAUGUGGUCCCACAGGCAUUUAUCACGCUGAUAGACACAGGCCUGUGGAGUGUAGACAUUUUUAUAUGUUUGGUUCGAGAUUAAUACUAAGAAUUGAUGCACCUACAGUGCAUAUAACAUGUAUGUCUGUAUUGAAAAUACCAAGUGAGAAAUAGUGGUUGUGACACAGAACAUUUCCUUCAAGCUUAAGAUGAGCAAAAGUGCAUUUAAUGUUUAUGAGGGAUUGUGACUAUAGAACCUCAUGAUGCCAUUAGAAUAGGCUUCCCAGGACUUAUGAUUUCUCUCAAUAUUCUACCACAUAGUUUUGUGUUGUGUGACUUGUCAGAGCUGCGUGCAUCUGCACAGUGGUGGCAUUAAUUCCACAAUUUAAAGACGCCGUGUUAAAAUAGUUCUUGUAGUGCAAUCUGAGCAGAAGUGGCCGCGGCACGCGAGGGGUUAACGCGCUGCGGUGGCCUGCGAGAUCAUUCGAGAGUGCAUUUUCACCGGCCAAUCAGCGGCGCGGAAUCCACCGCCCGCUCGGCCAAUCGCGGCGAUGGGAGGCUCUAUCGAAUUUGAAUGAGGAGUGUAUCUUUCGGCGCCAUUUUCGAGUGAGCAGCGAUCGGCUGAGCAGCUGCGGGGAGAAGAUGCUGCGAACACGGAGCCGCCGAGACGAGCCAGAGCCAGAGGAACCGAGCGCUCAAAAUCCAAACUGCGCCUUUCCCCCCUUCUUCUUCCCCCUCAAAGCAAAGGGAGACCGCGCGUUUUCAACAGAGUUUUGAGCGGGAGGUGCAGAGGCAGCCAGGCUGGAGCGGAGCAGCAGCUCGGGCGGCAGUGUCAACACAUGCACACGGUACCUCCACCGGCCUGGGAGGGAAAAUAAAAAGCCCAACGAGGGGCAGACACAGUGCCUUUUGUGGAUAUGAGGCACUGGACAGGUGAUGUGGACCAUAGUAUCCCAAGACUAUUACAUGGAGAUUUGUCACACCCCAGAGAUCUGAUGUUAAGUGAAUCAACCAGUACAACAUGUGUUGGCUGAGGCAUAAUUAUUUGACUUUUUGAUAAGCCUUUGCAGGACCUCUGCGACAAUUUAACAGCAUUAGUUGUUAAUUAGCAUAAUUUCCGUAUACAUGAUUUGUUAUUUACUAGUUACACCAAAUUUAGCAAAGGUCAUGCCCAAUUUGUUCAAAAGAUGAUUUUUAGAUGCUGACUUUAAUUUGUAAAUUUGGUUUCAAAUUUAAACUCUUGAUGAAGUGCUUCAUUUUCAUACCAAACAUCUUAUAACAGGUUUUUUUGUAUGCUAUCGUCGUAAGAUAUUUUUAUGCUGUGGUAUAAAUAUUGUCCGUGAUUAAAGGUUCAGGCUCCAACUCAUUAAUUUGAAAACGGGGGGAAAAGCACACUGCACACGCUGGUCCUGACUGUCCUCUCAAGUGUCUGAGUGUGGACAGAAUUGUUACACCCGUGUUCUCCACCUUUGUUUGUCAACAUAUUUCAGCUGUAAUCAUUAAGGUUUAUCACCAAGAAUCUGCAAAAAUCUACAAAUUUUUAAUCUCUUCUUGACCUGCUUGCACCGAAUAUUAACUGAGAUAAGCAACAACUUGUAUAUGCUGAAGCUUUUGUUCGGGGAUGAAUGUACAGCAAGUAAAAAGGGCACUGGAGGUGUAGUUAAAACUUGUAGGCUUCAUAGAAUAAUAAAUUAACGAUUGCAGUUUAUUUAGCAACAUACCAUUUUCUAAACUAAAUCACAGGUCUUUGACUUCUGGCCCAUGCACAUUUUAUCAGUUUAUUGUGCCAUCUAUCAGUGAACUUGUUUUGUUGCAUGUUAACACAAUUAAGAGCCGUGACCAAUUUGGUGUUUGUGGGAAACCUCCAGAGUAAACAACAAAAUGUUUCUACAGUUACAAAAUUGUAAUUAUUUUCUUUUCUCAAGAACAUGAAUGAAAUGCCCUUUUCUUUUUUUGUAUAAGUUUUCACAAUAUGUGCUGUAUUUAUUUUAUAUCUUUUUGAGGGACGUAUGCACGUUAGAUGUCAUUAGAUUGAGGCUCUGUCCAUUUUAGACCAAGGUCAUGAUUACAGGUCCAUUGAGACCUCUAGUGGCAACACAAGCUGGACCCAAUCUCAUGCAUGAUUACUAUCAAGAUUCAGUUUAACACGUUUAUGCACAAACAAGGAUUUGCUUUUUUUGUUUUUUGUUUUUUGUAUUAUAAACAGUAGUCACUCACAAUAGCCAAAAUAAAGGGCUAGUAUUUUGAGGAGGUACCAUUGAAAUGGUUCAGUUGUCCCAUAUGAGGUCAUGUUUUUACAUUUUGUAAUCUAAGGUUUUUUUAACAUAGUACAGAUGUUUCGGUUGAGUGCAACGGUGAAGUGAUUAUAUUUGAACCCAAGCGUUCUCAACUGUUAUUGAGAUUCUCUCUCUGACAAGUCACCAUCUUUUUAAACCUGGUCAAAUCUGUCAAUAGCACCAAUGUGUUAUAAGGGCAUGAAGGAUGUCAUAGUAUUACAGUGGUAAACUGACAGUGACUUAAUUCUGAUGCAAAGUGCCGACUGAUAAUUUUUUCCCUUUUGUUUAUGCAGAGCUUAGCCAACACUGAUUCUAUUUUUUAUUUUUUUACCUUAUGUAAAAUCAUUUCAACUUUUGGCUAUGCCACUCCAUUUUUCAAAUUGGCAGUCAAUGAUGUCUUUCACCCCCAAACAUAGUUGUUUCUGCUAAAAAACAAUCUUGCAAUAUUGAACUGUAUAGCGAAGGAGUCUGCACAAGUGCUUGGACAGGAGUGUGAAAUUACUUGAAUAUGCUAUAUAUCCGGUAUCUGGACUUAAGUGUGGACACCAGAACCCGUUGGGGGUAAGGUUGGAUAAAAAAUGUUAAUGAUUUUGGGGUUAGAUUUGGUCACAUUGGCUGAGCUACCACAUAGUUUUUGUCACUGCAGUAAACAAAAUUAAAUUUUUUUAGAAAAUUGUUUUUCUGAUUUUGGAAGUACUUGACAGUGCUCUGACCUCAACACCAUUGGAAGCAGACAUUGAGCCACAUAUCUCUCAACAUCAAUGUGUGAUCUCACAUUUUGGCUUAAUUGGUCCAAACCUCGUCAGUGAGGUUCAAAAUAUUUUUAAAUGCUUUCCCAAAAGAGUUGAGACUGUAACAACAGCUAAGAUUGAAACAUUCUGGUGUCCACUUAGUUUUGGUUAUAUAGUGCAUUGACAUUGAGUACUGUCUUUACUGAGUACUGUCUUUUUUGUCUGUGUUUCAGAUGGAGAUCCUGUUUUUCUGAAACUUCUGCAAGUCUGCAAAAGACACUGACCAUCUGAGUGUCUUUUAGGUAGAUCCAUAAUAGGUAAUAAGUAUUUACCAGUGUCUGAACAUGUGGUAAAGACUUAAGGCCUGGAAGACGGAGAAGAGUGUGCAAUCACAAAGAUGAGAGGAUUUGGAAGCGGAGCGUCCAGGACAGCAGAUCUGGUGAUGCUGUAGCAGCACGGAAUGGUUUGUGGGUUGUACUGAGAUGCAGGCCAUACUGUGCUGCAGCAGUAAAACCGGAAAUUACAACCUGGAUGUCACCGUACACAUUCCAACCUUUUUCACUGUUUACAAUCACAUCUGCAUAUACAGUAGUCUCCAUCGUCUGAAGUGAUACUACAGAGUUGUUCCUGAUAUCAAAAGUGAUCACCCUCAUCUGCUGGUCGUUUUACUGUAGCAGCACGUAAAUAUUGGAGUUAAGACUUUUGCUGAAGCCUCCAAUAUUGAUCGUGCUGCUGUAGCAAAACUGACCACUUGCAUCCAGUGCAGCUAACGGUGGCUUUUCUCACAGGUAUGUUGUUUACUCACCAAUUGUAUUUGACUGUUAAAACAUGUAAAGGUCUUAUUUUUACGUUUCACUGUUCUGUCUGUGCACUUGCAAAAAUAAAAAAAUUUAAUCGGA